This is a long non-coding RNA of Sebastes umbrosus (honeycomb rockfish), 1759 nucleotides long. RefSeq lists it as uncharacterized. The transcript is spliced from 3 exons. Lineage: Eukaryota; Metazoa; Chordata; Actinopteri; Perciformes; Sebastidae. The record is from RefSeq and is a predicted model, not a curated record.
UCAUGCAACCGUGGUGUAGUUCGUCUAUAGCCUAACGUUAGCUUUUUACUUCUGGCGAUUGCAUUCACACUUCAAAAAUCAUAAAAGUACAGUAGUGUUGAAUUGUGAUGAUUAUCUUGCUGAAAAAAAACGCGUAAGUAUCAUAAACGUGUGUUUGCCACAGAGCUUAUUUUCUGCAAUAAUCUAAAACCCAAUACAAAUUCUACAUUGGCUUUUUGUCAAGUGAACCCAGGGCGAUUCUGACUUAAAGUUGGCCUACAAAAUGACAUCAUCCCUGCAGCACUCUAUUGCAGCACCAAACAGGAAGCGGCAAACGGGAUGGAAAGUAAACAUGGGGAAACUGGUGGAGUUGUGUAGUGAACAAGAGCGCCUUUUUGACGUGUCCUCCCAUCUGUACCACGAUAGAGUGGAGAAGGAAAAAAUCUGCAGCUCUCGAAAUCCCCGGAGCAGGAUGUGACAUCAUCUCAAAAGGAAUUUAGUUGUAGAUUUUGUGGAAAUUCUGCUCUCGAGAUACGAAGAAAGCCGACACGAUGACUGUGAAAGUCGCCUUUCUGAACACUUUGAGCUUUGAAGUCCACUGGAUAGAACAAGAUCUAAUAAAUCUACCCGAGCUCUCUUAGUGUUAGUCAAAUAGCCAAAAGAAAUUAAUGCUGUGUCUGUGGCACCUUUCAUCAUACAGCACGCUCACAUGAGCAAUGCUUUUUUUUGCCACUUGUUUCAGUUCAGUAGGCAAUUUCUUUCCAUAUAAAAUGGCUGUUUUCUUGGUAGUAAGCAAACAAAGAGUGGCACAUAUUCAUAAUAUCUACUCUUACAUUUCAUCCUCCCCCAGUACUGAGCAUGUGAUGUUACACAUAUCAGAUUAAUAUCCAGUGACCACAUCUGGAAAUUCAACAGAGCUUGUGUGCGGCUACAAAGCCAGAGUGAAGAGAAAAAGGAUUCCACAGCUUUGUGAAGAGAAAGGGGUAUGUGAACGGACUUCACUAAAAUAUUUGCAAGAGUCAUGCUAAAAACAUCUCACUUCAUUAGCCGUGUUUACCUCCAGCUCCCGGGCCAGACAGACUCACAAUAACAGGAGGAAACCUUCAGCACUCACCAGAUCCAUACUCUGGUGGGGAAUAACAAAUAGGUCAUUGUUAAGCACCACCGACACCCACAGCCAAAACUAACACUUACUUACUGAGUAGACACAGUGGGAGAAGGGGGCAGAGGGAUUCUGGGCCUGCUCGUGGUAUUUCUUACAGUGCUGGGAAAAAGUAGUGAUGCAGCCUAUACUACAAAUUGAAACAUGUUUGAACAUUUGGUCACAGUCACACAUUUCCUGUGCUGUGAGAAGCCUGCUCUGGUGGCCUUGGUGUGUCUCCAGGGCUCCCACGGUGUGUUAAGUUUGUGCCCGGGUCAUCCAUCACACGAGAUCCUCGGUGGCGGAGGGACUCAUCUCUCACACCUGCUGAGACUCAAUCUGGAGGCUGGAAGGACUCUCCAUUGUGCCUUGCAGCGUCCUGUAGCCCUCCGGUUGCGUUUUAUAGCACCUUUGUUAUGGCACUGGGAUGUGGUACUGAGCUAAACAUUGUGAUAAACCACGAUUGGCCUCCAUAUAUGGGGUUAAUGUAUACAUUAAAGUGGCAGUAGGCAGAAUAGUUUUUGGCAUCAUUGAGCAAAUAUUCCCUAAUCACCUUUCAGCAUCUUGUAAUUCAAGUGUUCUGAGAGAAAACUAGACUUCUGCACCUCCUCAUGGCUCUGUUUUCAGGCUUAAGAAAAU